Non-coding RNA from Carassius gibelio (silver crucian carp), 819 nucleotides. The record is from the annotation of a RefSeq genome assembly. Lineage: Eukaryota; Metazoa; Chordata; Actinopteri; Cypriniformes; Cyprinidae.
GAGAGACUCAACAGAGAACUGAACUGAUCUGACUGAACAUGGACAGAUGCUUUAUACUGAUACUCAUUGUGGGAACAGGUUUGGUGGCUGGAGACAACAUUGAUCCAGAUAAAGGGACAGAAAAAACUUCUAAAGAAACAGAAACUGUCAAGCUGAGCUGCUCAUAUAGUUCAAGUAGUGACUAUGUUGUGCUUUACUGGUACAGACAGUAUCCCAACAGAGAACCACAAUAUUUAUUACUCAAAGGUGCUCGAUCGCGUGCUGAUGAACACACCUCUGAUGGUCGAUUUAAUUCAGCUACAACACGCACAUCCACAGAACUCACUAUUACUGAUGCACGUCUGUCAGAUUCAGCUCUCUAUUAUUGUGCUCUAAGAGUAGUAGCCCAGUAAUACAAAACAUGAAACUUGUCGUACAAAAACCUGAAGCUCUUCUCACUUUGAAAAUAUCUAGUGAAAACCACAAUCAAAACCACAAUCUCUCCAGCUCUUAAUGUAAUAAAAUAUGUGGUAACACCUGGGUAGGACUGAAUUAGACCCGUUAUAAAACUUCAAAGAAACAUUAAAAGUAUGUUCUGGAUAUUAAUUUCCAGCUUCAGUGUAUGAAUAUUAAAUUUCAACAUUAAUAACUACAUUUUAAUCAUUAGAAUUAUUUUUCCAAGAAAAUUCUUAAACACCGAGCUUCUUCACACGUACAAACCUUGCGAUGCAGGUUUUUCUCGGGGAUGAAUCCACGAGACUGGAAGAGUUCUGGAGAACAUCCACGCUGUGUAUGGAUGCACAUUAAGAAAGGUGGUCUUCUGGAGUAUUUCAACUUGGA